CCCUCCUGCCAUCUUCUCGGAUGA
This 24-nucleotide non-coding RNA is filed under the name Cricetulus griseus (Chinese hamster). Lineage: Eukaryota; Metazoa; Chordata; Mammalia; Rodentia; Cricetidae. The record is from RNAcentral.